GAUGAACGCUAGCGGCAGGCUUAAUACAUGCAAGUCGUGGGGCAGCAGGACUGUAGCAAUACAGUUGCUGGCGACCGGCAAACGGGUGCGGAACACGUACGCAAUCUACCCAGAACUGGUGAAUAGCCCUCCGAAAGGAGGAUUAAUACACCGUAAUAUUAUAAAGUGGCAUCACUUAAUAAUUAAAGCUCCGGCGGUUUUGGAUGAGCGUGCGGCCCAUUAGGUAGUUGGUUGAGGUAAUGGCUCACCAAGCCUGCGAUGGGUAACUGGUGUGAGAGCACGACCAGUCACACGGGCACUGAGACACGGGCCCGACUCCUACGGGAGGCAGCAGUAAGGAAUAUUGGUCAAUGGACGCAAGUCUGAACCAGCCAUGCCGCGUGGAGGAUGAAGGCCCUCUGGGUUGUAAACUUCUUUUAUGGGGGACGAAAUCACUUAUUCUUAAGUGUCUGACGGUACCCCAGGAAUAAGCACCGGCUAACUCCGUGCCAGCCGCCGCCGUAA
This 504-nucleotide ribosomal RNA is filed under the name uncultured bacterium. RNAcentral describes it as "partial 16S ribosomal RNA". It matches the Rfam family "Bacterial small subunit ribosomal RNA", at positions 28 to 523 of the family's 1533-position model. The record is from RNAcentral.